AGUAACGACGUGCGGGCGAUGCUACUACAUGCAAGUCGAACGGCAGCACGGGAGCAAUCCUGGUGGCGAGUGGCGAACGGGUGAGUAAUAUAUCGGAACGUGCCCAGUCGUGGGGGAUAACGCAGCGAAAGUUGUGCUAAUACCGCAUACGAUCUAUGGAUGAAAGCGGGGGAUCGCAAGACCUCGCGCGAUUGGAGCGGCCGAUAUCAGAUUAGGUUGUUGGUGAGGUAAAAGCUCACCAAGCCUGCGAUCUGUAGCUGGUCUGAGAGGACGACCAGCCACACUGGAACUGAGACACGGUCCAGACUCCUACGGGAGGCAGCAGUGGGGAAUUUUGGACAAUGGGGGAAACCCUGAUCCAGCCAUUCCGCGUGUGCGAUGAAGGCCUUCGGGUUGUAAAGCACUUUUGGCAGGAAAGAAAUCGUGUGGGUUAAUACCCUGCGCGGAUGACGGUACCUGGAGAAUAAGCUCCGGCUAACUCCGUG
RNAcentral lists this ribosomal RNA (485 nucleotides) under uncultured bacterium. Its description in RNAcentral is "bacterial SSU rRNA". It matches the Rfam family "Bacterial small subunit ribosomal RNA", at positions 39 to 507 of the family's 1533-position model. The record is from RNAcentral.